GUGGGGAAUAUUGCGCAAUGGGGGAAACCCUGACGCAGCGACGCCGUGUGAGGGAAGAAGGCUUUCGGGUCGUAAACCUCUGUCAGAAAGGAAGAACCUCCCAAGUCCGAAUAGGGCUUGGGACUGACGGUACUUUCAAAGGAAGCACCGGCUAACUCCGUGCCAGCAGCCGCGGUAAUACGGAGGGUGCAAGCGUUAAUCGGAAUCACUGGGCGUAAAGCGCGCGUAGGCCGCUUUGUAAGUCGGACGUGAAAGCCCUCGGCUCAACCGGGGAACUGCGUUCGAUACUGCGAGGCUUGAGUCCGGGAGAGGGUGGCGGAAUUCCGGGUGUAGGAGUGAAAUCCGUAGAUAUCCGGAGGAACACCGGUGGCGAAGGCGGCCACCUGGACAGGUACUGACGCUGAGGCGCGAAAGCGUGGGGAGCAAACAGGAUUAGAAACCCGGGUAGUCC
This 451-nucleotide ribosomal RNA is filed under the name uncultured bacterium. RNAcentral describes it as "partial 16S ribosomal RNA". It matches the Rfam family "Bacterial small subunit ribosomal RNA", at positions 354 to 796 of the family's 1533-position model. The record is from RNAcentral.